The sequence is a regulatory RNA element, 93 nucleotides long. It matches the Rfam family "Alpha operon ribosome binding site". From Rfam's summary of the family: The bacterial alpha operon ribosome binding site is surrounded by this complex pseudoknotted structure. Translation of the mRNA produces 4 ribosomal protein products, one of which (S4) acts as a translational repressor by binding to the nested pseudoknot region. The record is from Rfam.
ACUCUUGCGCCCUUUCUUGGCUUCCGGGGCUCAGGUAGCUGUCAAUUGGAGUUUCACUGAAUGGCCCGUAUUGCAGGCGUUAACAUUCCGGAU